Molecule: small nuclear RNA, 18 nt
Filed under: Arabidopsis thaliana (thale cress)
Lineage: Eukaryota; Viridiplantae; Streptophyta; Magnoliopsida; Brassicales; Brassicaceae
Description: snRNA_08941
Source: RNAcentral
AGAUCUUGGUGGUAGUAG